Gopherus flavomarginatus (Mexican gopher tortoise) is the source of this 1952-nucleotide long non-coding RNA. RefSeq lists it as uncharacterized. The transcript is spliced from 3 exons. Lineage: Eukaryota; Metazoa; Chordata; Testudines; Testudinidae. The record is from RefSeq and is a predicted model, not a curated record.
UGUUUUGCUCAGCGCAUUCUGUGAGAAUUAGCAUGUUAGUGAGAUAAUCCAUCCCUUAUUGCUCGGUGAGGAGACAUGACAAAUCAGUUCUGGCUUAUGUUCCUUAUGAAUGUGACUUCAAGGCUGCACUGGAGGAUUUAGAUAUUGCUUUCUUUGAAUAAGAUACAGCCGUAUCAGUUUGAACCACAAAAGGUUACAGCUCCCUCCAGGACCCAGUUAGACUCUUGGCGAGCAUUAGAGGGAUGCGAGGAUGACAGACAGCUAAAAGAUGCCAAUUAAUUUGAACUGAGGAACCUGUUAGUCACCCAGCUCCACUCUGGAUGUUCAUAAAAUCAUGGAACUGGAAGGGACCUCUAGAGGUCAUCUAGUCUAGUCCCCUGCACUCAAGCACCUGGUGAGUGGGAAGAUGGGUCGCACCAUGUCCCCGGAAGAAAAGGAACGCCCUGGAGGACAAUAGUUCAGAAAAGCUCUCUGAGCGUUGGGUGUCUUAAUUUGAAACAGGUUGAGAAGUGAGUUCCCCAAGGCGGCUACACUGUAUUUAAAGAGGAGGGAAGAAUUUAAAACGCAGGGCUAGAAAGUGAGAGACAAAGGUGAGUGAGGUAAUGUCUUUUAUUGGACCAACUUCUGUUGGUGAGAGAGACAAGCUUUCGAGGCACACAGAAGUUUCUGCAGGUCGUAUCCUGGGUCAUUUAACCACAGCCCUGUAUGGGGCACAGUGCAGGACGGCACCUUCCUGAUCCUGCUGGUGGUAUUAUCUAUUUAUAAUUUGUAUUACAGUAAACCUGCCCCACCGCACCCAACUGAGAUCAGGGUCCUGUUGCGCCGGGUAUUGCACAUCCACAUAGAAAUAUAUAGUCCCUGCCCCAAAGAGCUUGCAAUGUAAAAAGACAAGAUGGCCCAAAGAGCAGGUGGAAAGUUGGCCCAGUGGCCAGGGCACUAGCUUGCAAUUCAUUAGACCCAGGUUCUAUUCCCUGCUCUGUUACAUGCUUCCUAUGAGAUCUUAGGCAAGUCACUCAGGGCAGCGUUUCUCGAUGACCGGACAGGUGCCGGUCCCUGAGAUCUCCCUGGCACAGUUUAGGAAAGCAGCAGGCCAGUAUCGAAAAGCUUGAGAAAUGCUGACUUAGGGUCCACAUCUGCACUGCAGCUGAGAGGUGUGACUCCCAGUGCUGGUAGACAUACACACACUAGCUCGUCCCAAGGUAGCACCUGGCAAUAACUGUGUGUGGGUGCAAGGACAUAGUGAGGGCUUGGGCUAGCAGCCAGAACACAAUCCCCACCCCCGCCCCAGGUAUGCACCUGGUCACCCCCAUGGCUAUUUUCAGGUGCUGUUUGUAUGUCUACCUAGCUGGGAGUGACUUCUCCCAGCCUAAAGCCCUACUCUUACUUGCUCGGUGCCUUGGUCAGCCAUUUGCCCAGCCCUUCUCUGACUCACAGGGUUGCUGGGAGGAGACGAUUUCAUAGCACUUUGGACACUGCGGUUCCAGGGCCAUGUAAGUACAGACUGUGCAUAAGUAUUUGGCAGGUGGAGAACUGAGCCCAAACAGAUGAUAUGACUCCCUUCAGGUCACACAGCCUCUGUGCCCUAGCUGGGAACUGAACCCACAUCUCCUGAGUCCCAGUCCAAUGCCUGCACCAAGGAGACCCUUCUUCUCUCUAGGGAGGGGUUUCCUCUGCCCGAGGGGGCGCUCCAGGAAGGACUGUGCUGGGUAAGGCAGGUCUUUAGGGAGUUCUGGGGGCAUGUGCAUGCUGCAGGAUCUGGAACAGCCUGCUCCACUCCAUUCCUGGCUAGCUCCAGGAUCAGUGUGGAGGGGUCAUAGAGUAGGGCUGGGACUGUGCCUCCUCUCUGCCUCUCCCCACCCACUUGGUAAUGAUCUGUGCUCAGGAUGGGGGCCACACUGAGAGAGCAGUUCCUGCACUUCCCCCAAGCCCAGGAACUGCACUUGUCUGUGGUC